GCCGGGCGUGGUGGCGUGUGCCUGUAAUCCCAGCUACUCAGGAGGCUGAGGCAGGAGAAUCGCUUGAACCCGGGAGGCGGAGGUUUCAGUGAGCUGAGAUUGCACCACUGCACUCCAGCCUGGGUGACAGAGUGAGACUCUGUCUCAA
RNAcentral lists this non-coding RNA (148 nucleotides) under Gorilla gorilla gorilla (western lowland gorilla). Lineage: Eukaryota; Metazoa; Chordata; Mammalia; Primates; Hominidae. The record is from Rfam by way of RNAcentral.